This 251-nucleotide ribosomal RNA is filed under the name uncultured bacterium. Its description in RNAcentral is "partial 16S ribosomal RNA". It matches the Rfam family "Bacterial small subunit ribosomal RNA", at positions 524 to 776 of the family's 1533-position model. The record is from RNAcentral.
UACGUAGGGUGCAAGCGUUAAUCGGAAUUACUGGGCGUAAAGCGUGCGCAGGCGGUUUUGUAAGUCUGUCGUGAAAUCCCCGGGCUCAACCUGGGAAUUGCGAUGGAGACUGCAAGGCUAGAAUCUGGCAGAGGGGGUAGAAUUCCACGUGUAGCAGUGAAAUGCGUAGAUAUGUGGAGGAACACCGAUGGCGAAGGCAGCCCCUGGGUCAAGACUGACGCUCAUGCACGAAAGCGUGGGGAGCAAACAGG